This 373-nucleotide ribosomal RNA is filed under the name Atys kuhnsi. RNAcentral's name for it is "partial 16S ribosomal RNA". It matches the Rfam family "Bacterial large subunit ribosomal RNA", at positions 1923 to 2606 of the family's 2925-position model. The record is from RNAcentral. Lineage: Eukaryota; Metazoa; Mollusca; Gastropoda; Cephalaspidea; Haminoeidae.
UUUAAUGGCCGCGGUACUUUGACCGUGCUAAGGUAGCAUAAUCAAUUGACUUUUAAAUGAAGUCUGGAAUGAAAGGGGAAACGGAAUUUAGCUNUCUAAACUUUUUUAAUUUGAAUUUACUAACUAGGUGAAAAGGCCUAGAGAAGAUAAAAGACGAGAAGACCCUAAGAGUUUAAAACUAUUUUGUUGGGGCGACAGAAGGUCAGCAUAACACCUUUGUUUUAAUAAGACGGAUUUAUCAUGCACAGAUAAACUACCUUAGGGAUAACAGCAUAAUCCUUUUGGGUUUGUGACCUCGAUGUUGGACUAGGAAGCCUUUAGGCUAGCUGCUUAAAAGGGGGAUUCUGUUCGAAUUUUUACUCCUACGUGAUCU